RNAcentral lists this ribosomal RNA (567 nucleotides) under Prevotella melaninogenica. RNAcentral's name for it is "bacterial SSU rRNA". It matches the Rfam family "Bacterial small subunit ribosomal RNA", at positions 225 to 776 of the family's 1533-position model. Lineage: Bacteria; Pseudomonadati; Bacteroidota; Bacteroidia; Bacteroidales; Prevotellaceae. The record is from RNAcentral.
AGGGCCCCCCGUUGUAUUAUCUCGUAGGUGAGGUAGCGGCUCCCCUGGGCCCGCUACACAUAGGCGACCUGAGAGGGGUGUUUGGGCCACACUGGGACUGACACACGGCCAAAAACUCCUGCGAGAGGCAGCAGUAGGAAAAUCUUCGGGCUAUGCACGGAAGUCUGCCCGAAAAACCCCGCGUGAGUGAAAGAAGGUUUUCAGAUCGUAAAUCUCUUUUAUAAGUUAAGAACGAGUGAGAGAGGGGAAAGUUAACUCUGAGACGAUAGCUUCCCGAGAAAGGGACGGCUAACUACGUCCCAGCCGCCGCGGUAAUAUGUGUGUCCCGAGCGUUGUCCGGUUUUUUUGGGCGUAAAGAGAGCGCAGGCGGUUUGAUAAGUCUGAAGUUAAAGGCUGGGGCUCAACCAUAGUUCGCUUUGGAAACUGUCAAACUUGAGCGCAGAAGGGGAGAGUGGAAUUCCAUGUGUAGCGGUGAAAUGCGUAGAUAUAUGGAGGAACACCGGUGGCGAAAGCGGCUCUCUGGCUUGUAACUGACGCUGAGGCUCGAAAGCGUGGGGAGCAAACAGG